AUACGGAGGUGGCGAGCGUUGCUCGGAUUUACUGGGCGUAAAGCGCGCGUAGGCGGUCCGCGUAGUCAGGCGUGAAAGCCCCGGGCUCAACCUGGGAACUGCGUUUGAUACUGGCGGGCUAGAGUCCGGGAGAGGAUAGUGGAAUUCCCAGUGUAGAGGUGAAAUUCGUAGAUAUUGGGAAGAACACCAGUGGCGAAGGCGGCUACCUGGACCGGUACUGACGCUGAGGUGCGAAAGCGUGGGGAGCAAACAGGAUUAGAAACCCCAGUAGUCC
Molecule: ribosomal RNA, 274 nt
Filed under: uncultured bacterium
Lineage: Bacteria
Description: partial 16S ribosomal RNA
Rfam family: Bacterial small subunit ribosomal RNA
Source: RNAcentral